RNAcentral lists this long non-coding RNA (740 nucleotides) under Salmo salar (Atlantic salmon). RNAcentral's name for it is "lncRNA (ENSSSAG00000102176.1)". Lineage: Eukaryota; Metazoa; Chordata; Actinopteri; Salmoniformes; Salmonidae. The record is from RNAcentral.
CUGGGGGCAACAUAACCAAAAUAAUAGCAAUGAGGAUUUCCAGCAACCACUGUUUGACUUGCACUGAUUUGACACCAGAGAGUGCUGCCUACUAAAAUAUUAUAUACAAGGUCUGUUUAAUCUUAUAGAUAGAUAGUAUGGACAGAGAAGACCUGAUCCUAGAUCUGCAUUCCUACUGAGACGCUUUAUGAAUACAAGCCCUGAUGUGCUAUUACUGUUAUGUGCCUACUCCCCACUGGCUGAUGUGCUCCACAUCUCUCUGUCCUGGUAUGACCUACGGUACGCCUCACAUGAUAACGUCUUGGCAGCAAGACCCGUUUCCCUCUCUUCUCUGCAGUCACUUACUAAAGGGCAGGAGCACUGUAAAGCAAUGGAGAUCACAACACAGCAGUUCCCUUAACAGAACAAGUAGUGUUAUUUUGAAUGGUGCUCAGACUUUGUAGCAGUGGAGGGCCCAGAUGGCAGCAACAUGUUAGCUUGAGAGGAACGUCGGUCAGAAAAGUACCAGUUCCUUUAGAGUGUCCAUAGAGGGCACUCAUGUCCUUACUGGAGGUAGAGGUGAUGUUGGAUGGGAGGGAGAGAAGAGAAGAGAAGAGAAGAGAAGAGAAGAGAAGAGAAGAGAAGAGAAGAGAAGAGAAGAGAAAGUGGAAGAGAAGAGAAGAGAAGAGAAGAGAAGAGAAGAGAAGAGAAGAGAAGAGAAGAGAAGAGAAGAGAAGAGAAGAGAAGAGAAGAGAAAGUGG